UAGAGUUUGAUCCUGGCUCAGGAUGAACGCCAGCGGCAGGCUUAACACAUGCAAGUCGAGGGGCAUCGGGAGGGAAGCUUGCUUUCCUUGCCGGCGACCGGCGCACGGGUGAGUAACACGUAUGCAACCUGCCCUCUUCAGGGGGACAACCUUCCGAAAGGGAGGCUAAUCCCGCGUAUAUCGGUUUCGGGCAUCCGAGAUCGAGGAAAGAUUCAUCGGAAGAGGAUGGGCAUGCGGCGCAUUAGCUUGACGGCGGGGUAACGGCCCACCGUGGCGACGAUGCGUAGGGGUUCUGAGAGGAAGGUCCCCCACACUGGUACUGAGACACGGACCAGACUCCUACGGGAGGCAGCAGUGAGGAAUAUUGGUCAAUGGGAGAGAUCCUGAACCAGCCAAGCCGCGUGAGGGAAGACGGCCCUAUGGGUUGUAAACCUCUUUUGUCGGAGAACAAAACCCGGGACGUGUCCCGGACUGCGUGUAUCCGAAGAAAAAGCAUCGGCUAACUCCGUGCCAGCAGCCGCGGUAAUACGGAGGAUGCGAGCGUUAUCCGGAUUUAUUGGGUUUAAAGGGUGCGUAGGCGGUCCGUUAAGUCAGCGGUAAAAUUGCGGGGCUCAACCCCGUCGAGCCGUUGAAACUGGCAGACUUGAGUUGGCGAGAAGUACGCGGAAUGCGCGGUGUAGCGGUGAAAUGCAUAGAUAUCGCGCAGAACUCCGAUUGCGAAGGCAGCGUACCGGCGCCACACUGACGCUGAGGCACGAAAGCGUGGGGAUCGAACAGGAUUAGAUACCCUG
This 791-nucleotide ribosomal RNA is filed under the name uncultured bacterium. RNAcentral describes it as "bacterial SSU rRNA". It matches the Rfam family "Bacterial small subunit ribosomal RNA", at positions 1 to 789 of the family's 1533-position model. The record is from RNAcentral.